Xiphophorus maculatus (southern platyfish) is the source of this 73-nucleotide non-coding RNA. NCBI's taxonomy places the organism in Eukaryota, Metazoa, Chordata, Actinopteri, Cyprinodontiformes, Poeciliidae. The record is from Rfam.
GACCAUGUGGCUUAAUGGACAAGCUGUCUGACUUCGGAUCAGAAGAUUGAGGGUUCGAGUCCCUCGGUGGUUG